AGUCACUGACAUUAGAUACCCCUGUAGUCCUAGCCGUAAACGAUACUCGCUAGGUGUCGGCCACGGUGCGACCGUUGUCGGUGCCGUAGGGAAGCCGUGAAGCGAGCCACCUGGGAAGUACGGCCGCAAGGCUGAAACUUAAGGAAUUGGCGGGGAGCACCGCAACGGGAGGAGCGUGCGGUUCAAUUGGAUUCAACGCCGGACAACUCACCAGGAGCGACGGUUACAUGAAGGCCAGGCUGAUGACCUUGCCUGAUUUUCCG
This 263-nucleotide ribosomal RNA is filed under the name uncultured archaeon. RNAcentral describes it as "partial 16S ribosomal RNA". It matches the Rfam family "Archaeal small subunit ribosomal RNA", at positions 718 to 982 of the family's 1478-position model. The record is from RNAcentral.